Molecule: long non-coding RNA, 1798 nt
Organism: Eriocheir sinensis (Chinese mitten crab)
Lineage: Eukaryota; Metazoa; Arthropoda; Malacostraca; Decapoda; Varunidae
Exons: 7
Source: RefSeq, a predicted model, not a curated record
UGAGGCUCGUAAGCCGUGGAAGGCAAUUCACCUAGGAGAGCAAACUCUAAACAAACCCGGGCAGGUGAGGCUCGUUAGCCGUGGUAGGCAAUUCACCUAGGAGAGCAAACUCUAUACAAACCCGGGCAGGUGGAGGUCGUUAGCCGUGGGAGGCAAUUCACCUAGGAGAGCAAACUCCGAACAAUAAACCCGGGCAGGUGGAGCUCGUCAGCCGUGGUAGGCAAUUCACCUAGGAGAGCAAACUCUAAACAAACCCGGGCAGGUGGAGGUCGUUAGCCGUGGUAGGCAAUUCACCUAGGAGAGCAAACUCUAAACAAACCCGGGCAGGUGAGGCUCGUUAGCCGUGGUAGGCAAUUCACCUAGGAGAGCAAACUCUAUACAAACCCGGGCAGGUGGAGGUCGUUAGCCGUGGGAGGCAAUUCACCUAGGAGAGCAAACUCCGAACAACAAACCCGGGCAGGUGGAGCUCGUUAGCCGUGGGAGGCAAUUCACCUAGGAGAGCAAACUCCGAACAACAAACCCGGGCAGGUGGAGCUCGUCAGCCGUGGUAGGCAAUACACCUAGGAGAGCAAACUCCGAACAACAAACCCGGGCAGGUGGAGCUCGUCAGCCGUGGUAGGCAAUCUGCCUAGGAGAGCAAACUCCGAACAAUAAACCCGGGCAGGUGGAGGUCGUCAGCCGUGGUAGGCAGUCUGCCUAGGAGAGCAAACUCCGAACAAUAAACCCGGGCAGGUGGAGGUCGUCAGCCGUGGUAGGCAAUCUGCCUAGGAGAGCAAACUCCGAACAAUAAACCCGGGCAGGUGGAGGUCGUCAGCCGUGGUAGGCAAUCUGCCUAGGAGAGCAAACUCUAAAUAAACCCGGGCUUGUGGUGCUCGUUAUACUGUCGUAGACAAUCCACGCGAUGGGAACACCAAAGAAAAGGAAAAUAAAAAAGAACACCAGAAAAAUGGAAAAUACAGAAACGAAACAUCAAGAAAAGAAACAAAAAGAUCAUCCACCUUUAGGCCCUAACAUCGCCAAAAUUAUGAGUGGGUCUCUUCUGGGGAGAAAGCGGCUCAUCCAGACCAAAGAACAUCAACAAAAGGAUGAUAUGAAUAAAUGAACAUAAAAAAAACAAAGAAAAACACAUCAAGGAAAGAAAAAUAUAACAAACAUCAUCCACCUUCCGGCCCUGACUAACAUCACCAAAAUUAUGGGUGGGUCUCUUCUGGGGAGAAAGCGGCUCACCCAGACCAAAGAACAUCAACAAGGGAUGAUAUAGAAAAGAACACCAAAAAAAUAUGGAAAAAGAACAGAAAAAACAUCGAAAAAGAAAAGCAACAGAAAUAAAUGAGCAACAUCGAGAAAAGAGAAAUACAAAGAAACAUCAUCCACCUUUCGGCCCCAAACAACAUCACCAAAAUUAUGGAUGGGUCUCUUCUGGGAGGAAAGCGGCUCAUCCAGACCAAGGAACAUCAACAAAAGGAUGAUGGGAAAAAAAUAACAACAAAAAACAUCAAAAAGAAGUAAAAAGAAAAAGACCAGGAAAACAUCGAAAAAGAAAACAAAAGCAAUAAAAAGAACGAAAAACACGACAUCAAGAAAAUAAAAUAAAACAAACAUCAUCCACCUUUCGGCCCUAACAACAUCUCCAAAAUUAUGGGUGGGUCUCUUCUGGGAGGAAAGCGGCUCACCCAGACCAACGAACAUCAACAAAAGGAUGAUAGGAAAAAAGAACACCAAAAAAGAACAUCAAAAAAGAAAACCAACAGCAAGAAAACACAAAGGAAAAAAGAAAGAAAAAGAAAAGAAAAAGAAA